CGAUCGCUAUAGGGGUAGGGCUAAGCCAUGGGAGUCGUACGCUCUCGGGAAGAGGGCGUGGCGGACGGCUGAGUAACACGUGGCUAACCUGCCCUUGGGAUCCGGAUAACCCCGGGAAACUGGGGCUAAUCCGGAAUAGGUAAGGGGCUCUGGAACGACUCCUUGCCUAAAGGCUCCUCGGCUGAUCCCGUCGGGGGGGCGCCCAAGGAUGGGGCUGCGGCCCAUCAGGCUGUUGGCGGGGUAAAGGCUCGCCAAGCCGAUAACGGAUGCGGGCAGUGAGAGCUGGAGCCCGGAGAUGGGCACUGAGACAAGGGCCCAGGCCCUACGGGGCGCACCAGGCGAGAAACCUUAGCAAUGCGGGAAACCGUGACUGGGCCAUCCCGAGUGCCAGCCGCUAAGGCUGGCUUUUCCCCAGAGUAAGCAUCUGGGGGAAUAAGCGGGGGGCAAGACUGGUGUCAGCCGCCGCGGUAAUACCAGCUCCGCGAGUGGUCGGGACGAUUAUUGAGCCUAAAGCGCUCGUAGCCGGCCCCGUAAGUCCCGUGUUAAAUCCAACGGCUUAACCGUUGGGCUGCAUGGGAUACUGCGGGGCUAGGGAGCGGAAGAGGCCAGGGGUACUCCCGGGGUAGGGGCGAAAUCCUAUAAUCCCGGGAGGACGACCAGUGGCGAAGGCGCCUGGCUAGGACGCGUCCGACGGUGAGGGGCGAAAGCUGGGGGAGCGAACCGGAUUAGAUACCCGGGUAGUCCCAGCCGUAAACGAUGCGGACUGGGUGUUGGCACGGCUUCGGGCCGUGCCAGUGCCUCAGGGAAGCCGUUAAGUCCGCCGCUUGGGGAGUACGGUCGCAAGACUGAAACUUAAAGGAAUUGGCGGGGGAGCACCACAAGGGGUGAAGCCUGCGGCUCAAUUGGAGUCAACUCCGGGAACCUUACCAGGUGCGACAGCAGGAUGAAGGCCAAGCUGAUGACUUUGCCUGACGCGCUGUGAGGUGGCGCAUGGCCGUCGCCAGCUCGUGCCGUGAGGUGUCUGGUUAAGUCCAGGAACGAGCGAGACCCUCACCCUUAGUUGCGACCGCGAAAGCGGGCACACUAAGGGGACCGCCACCGUUAAGGUGGAGGAAGGAGGGGGCAACGGCAGGUCAGCAUGCCCCGAAUCACCUGGGCCGCACGCGGGCUGCAAUGGUGGAGACAAUGGGAUCCGAACCCGAAAGGGGGAGGUAAUCCUUGAAACUCCACCGUAGUUGGGAUCGAGGGCUGUAACCCGCCCUCGUGAACCUGGAAUCCCCAGUAAUCGCGUGUCAUCAUCGCGCGGUGAACAAGUCCCCGCUCCUU
RNAcentral lists this ribosomal RNA (1326 nucleotides) under uncultured archaeon. RNAcentral describes it as "16S ribosomal RNA". It matches the Rfam family "Archaeal small subunit ribosomal RNA", at positions 24 to 1338 of the family's 1478-position model. The record is from RNAcentral.